RNAcentral lists this ribosomal RNA (782 nucleotides) under Priestia megaterium. RNAcentral describes it as "bacterial SSU rRNA". It matches the Rfam family "Bacterial small subunit ribosomal RNA", at positions 37 to 797 of the family's 1533-position model. Lineage: Bacteria; Bacillati; Bacillota; Bacilli; Caryophanales; Bacillaceae. The record is from RNAcentral.
GGGAGUGCGGGCACCUAAUACAUGCAAGUCGAGCGAACUGAUUAGAAGCUUGCUUCUAUGACGUUAGCGGCGGACGGGUGAGUAACACGUGGGCAACCUGCCUGUAAGACUGGGAUAACUUCGGGAAACCGAAGCUAAUACCGGAUAGGAUCUUCUCCUUCAUGGGAGAUGAUUGAAAGAUGGUUUCGGCUAUCACUUACAGAUGGGCCCGCGGUGCAUUAGCUAGUUGGUGAGGUAACGGCUCACCAAGGCAACGAUGCAUAGCCGACCUGAGAGGGUGAUCGGCCACACUGGGACUGAGACACGGCCCAGACUCCUACGGGAGGCAGCAGUAGGGAAUCUUCCGCAAUGGACGAAAGUCUGACGGAGCAACGCCGCGUGAGUGAUGAAGGCUUUCGGGUCGUAAAACUCUGUUGUUAGGGAAGAACAAGUACAAGAGUAACUGCUUGUACCUUGACGGUACCUAACCAGAAAGCCACGGCUAACUACGUGCCAGCAGCCGCGGUAAUACGUAGGUGGCAAGCGUUAUCCGGAAUUAUUGGGCGUAAAGCGCGCGCAGGCGGUUUCUUAAGUCUGAUGUGAAAGCCCACGGCUCAACCGUGGAGGGUCAUUGGAAACUGGGGAACUUGAGUGCAGAAGAGAAAAGCGGAAUUCCACGUGUAGCGGUGAAAUGCGUAGAGAUGUGGAGGAACACCAGUGGCGAAGGCGGCUUUUUGGUCUGUAACUGACGCUGAGGCGCGAAAGCGUGGGGAGCAAACAGGAUUAGAUACCUUGGUAAGUCA